GUGCUCACUUGGCAGCACAUAUUACUAAAAUUGGAAAGAUACAGAAGAAUUAGCAUGGCCCCUGCACGAGGGAUGAACGCAAAUUCCGUGAAGCAUUCCAUAAUUUU
Molecule: small nuclear RNA, 107 nt
Filed under: Ursus americanus (American black bear)
Lineage: Eukaryota; Metazoa; Chordata; Mammalia; Carnivora; Ursidae
Source: RNAcentral